GAUGAACGCUGGCGGCGUGCCUAAUACAUGCAAGUCGAGCGAACGGACGAGAAGCUUGCUUCUCUGAUGUUAGCGGCGGACGGGUGAGUAACACGUGGAUAACCUACCUAUAAGACUGGGAUAACUUCGGGAAACCGGAGCUAAUACCGGAUAAUAUUUUGAACCGCAUGGUUCAAAAGUGAAAGACGGUCUUGCUGUCACUUAUAGAUGGAUCCGCGCUGCAUUAGCUAGUUGGUAAGGUAACGGCUUACCAAGGCAACGAUGCAUAGCCGACCUGAGAGGGUGAUCGGCCACACUGGAACUGAGACACGGUCCAGACUCCUACGGGAGGCAGCAGUAGGGAAUCUUCCGCAAUGGGCGAAAGCCUGACGGAGCAACGCCGCGUGAGUGAUGAAGGUCUUCGGAUCGUAAAACUCUGUUAUUAGGGAAGAACAUAUGUGUAAGUAACUGUGCACAUCUUGACGGUACCUAAUCAGAAAGCCACGGCUAACUACGUGCCAGCAGCCGCGGUAAUACGUAGGUGGCAAGCGUUAUCCGGAAUUAUUGGGCGUAAAGCGCGCGUAGGCGGUUUUUUAAGUCUGAUGUGAAAGCCCACGGCUCAACCGUGGAGGGUCAUUGGAAACUGGAAAACUUGAGUGCAGAAGAGGAAAGUGGAAUUCCAUGUGUAGCGGUGAAAUGCGCAGAGAUAUGGAGGAACACCAGUGGCGAAGGCGACUUUCUGGUCCGUAACUGACGCUGAUGUGCGAAAGCGUGGGGAUCAAACAGGAUUAGAUACCCUGGUAGUCCACGCCGUAAACGAUGAGUGCUAAGUGUUAGGGGGUUUCCGCCCCUUAGUGCUGCAGCUAACGCAUUAAGCACUCCGCCUGGGGAGUACGACCGCAAGGUUGAAACUCAAAGGAAUUGACGGGGACCCGCACAAGCGGUGGAGCAUGUGGUUUAAUUCGAAGCAACGCGAAGAACCUUACCAAAUCUUGACAUCCUUUGACAACUCUAGAGAUAGAGCCUUCCCCUUCGGGGGGCAAAGUGACAGGUGGUGCAUGGUUGUCGUCAGCUCGUGUCGUGAGAUGUUGGGUUAAGUCCCGCAACGAGCGCAACCCUUAAGCUUAGUUGCCAUCAUUAAGUUGGGCACUCUAAGUUGACUGCCGGUGACAAACCGGAGGAAGGUGGGGAUGACGUCAAAUCAUCAUGCCCCUUAUGAUUUGGGCUACACACGUGCUACAAUGGACAAUACAAAGGGCAGCGAAACCGCGAGGUCAAGCAAAUCCCAUAAAGUUGUUCUCAGUUCGGAUUGUAGUCUGCAACUCGACUACAUGAAGCUGGAAUCGUUAGUAAUCGUAGAUCAGCAUGCUACGGUGAAUACGUUCCCGGGUCU
RNAcentral lists this ribosomal RNA (1372 nucleotides) under uncultured bacterium. RNAcentral describes it as "bacterial SSU rRNA". It matches the Rfam family "Bacterial small subunit ribosomal RNA", at positions 28 to 1381 of the family's 1533-position model. The record is from RNAcentral.